UUCUUUUCUGACAGAAAUUUUAGAAACUAUAGAAAUUUUGUAAAAUUAAUGCAAUGUUUAACUUACCUUUAAGGAAUCCAACGUAGCGGGAGAAACACAAGAACAAGGAUGAAGGGAUGCUGCUUGAGUUGUAAAUAGAUACUCGAUUAAACGACAGACAGCAAGGGUGCCAAAUACGUUCGACCUCGCAGGCAAAUUGUUGCGUACCUUGUACGAAAAAGGUACUCACUGAAUUCCAAUAUCGGCGAAAAUAUAAAACACGUUUCAAAAACUACCAUUAGUUUUGACCUAAACUAGCCUCUGGAAAGUCCUUGUUUCGACUUGAGAAUCAAACGCGUUCUAUGUCGAGUGCGAUAUUAGAAACUGCAAAAGCAUGUGUGUAUUUUAAUUUGUCUGAUCGAACAGCUCAGGUGGCAACUCUGCCUUUGAUUUUGCGCCUGGUGUCGG
Molecule: long non-coding RNA, 447 nt
Organism: Drosophila ananassae
Lineage: Eukaryota; Metazoa; Arthropoda; Insecta; Diptera; Drosophilidae
Exons: 2
Source: RefSeq, a predicted model, not a curated record